GUGGGGAAUAUUGGACAAUGGGGGGAACCCUGAUCCAGCCAUGCCGCGUGUGUGAAGAAGGCCUUUUGGUUGUAAAGCACUUUAAGCGAGGAGGAGGCUACCGAGAUUAAUACUCUUGGAUAGUGGACGUUACUCGCAGAAUAAGCACCGGCUAACUCUGUGCCAGCAGCCGCGGUAAUACAGAGGGUGCAAGCGUUAAUCGGAUUUACUGGGCGUAAAGCGCGCGUAGGUGGCCAAUUAAGUCAAAUGUGAAAUCCCCGAGCUUAACUUGGGAAUUGCAUUCGAUACUGGUUGGCUAGAGUAUGGGAGAGGAUGGUAGAAUUCCAGGUGUAGCGGUGAAAUGCGUAGAGAUCUGGAGGAAUACCGAUGGCGAAGGCAGCCAUCUGGCCUAAUACUGACACUGAGGUGCGAAAGCAUGGGGAGCAAACAGGAUUAGAUACCCGAGUAGUAC
This 451-nucleotide ribosomal RNA is filed under the name uncultured bacterium. Its description in RNAcentral is "partial 16S ribosomal RNA". It matches the Rfam family "Bacterial small subunit ribosomal RNA", at positions 354 to 796 of the family's 1533-position model. The record is from RNAcentral.